AUUGAACGCUAGCGGGAUGCUUUACACAUGCAAGUCGAACGGCAGCUCGUACUUCGGUCUGGCUGCGAGUGGCGGACGGGUGAGUAAUGUAUCGGAACGUGCCCAGUAGCGGGGGAUAACUACGCGAAAGCGUAGCUAAUACCGCAUACGCCCUACGGGGGCAACCAGAGGAUCGUAAGACCUUGCACUCUUGGAGCAGCCGAUAUCGGAUUAGCUAGUUGGUGAGGUAACGGCUCACCAAGGCGACGAUCCGUAGCUGGUUUGAGAGGACGACCAGCCACACUGGGACUGAGACACGGCCCAGACUCCUACGGGAGGCAGCAGUGGGGAAUGUUGGACAAUGGGGGCAAGCCUGAUCCAGCCAUCCCGCGUGUGCGAUGAAGGCCUUCGGGUUGUAAAGCACUUUUGGCAGGAAAGAAACGGCGCGGGCUAAUACCCCGUGGAACUGACGGUACCUGAAGAAUAAGCACCGGCUAACUACGUG
RNAcentral lists this ribosomal RNA (484 nucleotides) under uncultured bacterium. Its description in RNAcentral is "partial 16S ribosomal RNA". It matches the Rfam family "Bacterial small subunit ribosomal RNA", at positions 30 to 507 of the family's 1533-position model. The record is from RNAcentral.